RNAcentral lists this transfer RNA (69 nucleotides) under Priacma serrata. RNAcentral's name for it is "tRNA-Asp". Lineage: Eukaryota; Metazoa; Arthropoda; Insecta; Coleoptera; Cupedidae. The record is from RNAcentral.
AAAGAAUUAGUUAAAAUAACCUUAAUUUGUCAAAUUAAAAUUACUAAUAAAUCAAUUUAGUAUUCUUUA